This is a non-coding RNA of Pelobates cultripes (western spadefoot toad), 264 nucleotides long. The record is from the annotation of a GenBank genome assembly. Lineage: Eukaryota; Metazoa; Chordata; Amphibia; Anura; Pelobatidae.
UAUAGUUGAUGCUUUUUAUUAAGCACAAUUGAAAAUCAACGUUUCACGUUUUCACUGAAACGUCAGUUUUUAAUUGUGCUGAAUAAAAAGCAUCAGCUAUAUUUUUUUACCAGACUCCUGAGUGCACUCUUCUUGUUUUCAUUUAUUGUGGCUGGAAUUGGCACCGGGGCAACUAUAAGACCGGGAAACUUGUAUACAUAAAGACUAAAAGGACUCACUAGGGUUAAGGAUAACAGAAGUUCCACUCUUUGUUUACAACAUUAG